CAGGUGGUAGACUGCUUGCCUGCCAUGCAUGGUGUCCCGGGUUUGAAUCCCGGCCACAUGA
This 61-nucleotide transfer RNA is filed under the name Rattus norvegicus (Norway rat). The record is from Rfam by way of RNAcentral. Lineage: Eukaryota; Metazoa; Chordata; Mammalia; Rodentia; Muridae.